This is a non-coding RNA of Paramuricea clavata, 755 nucleotides long. The record is from the annotation of a GenBank genome assembly. NCBI's taxonomy places the organism in Eukaryota, Metazoa, Cnidaria, Anthozoa, Malacalcyonacea, Plexauridae.
AUUCGCAGCAUAUUGAUGAUGAUGAUGAUGUGGGCAAAAGCCCCGGGGAAGAUAAUGAUGAUCAUUUCUAUGGUCAUGUAAAUCCAGAUAUACAAAAUGUGGACGCAGAUGAGAAGGAAACUGGAAUUUAAUGUUGUAUCCAUACAUAGUUAAUCUGCAAAAAUCUAUAAUGACUUAGUAUUUUUGACUAUGAGGACUGGACUAGACUGGACAAGAGCAUUUUUCGAGCAAUUUUUAUGAUUUUUUGAGCAACUUUUUUCGAAAUUUUGAUCAGGUUGGAAAUCUCUGGAGGAGAGAGACUAGAUGUGUGAUGUGGAAACUUUUAAAAACACAACAAUAUUAAUAGUUUAUUCGUGUAAAUGCAUGGAAAAUACGUUUUUAUAAAUAUAUAUAUACAGUAUUUAAUUUAAGGCCUCUGAUUUAAGGCAUUGUAGUAAUUUUACCAAUUUAAGGAAUUUAAAGGGAAUCUGAAAUCGAAAAUUUGAUUGUGAGAACAGUUGUCUAGAGAUACAAACAUAUCAAUUAAAAACCUUGGCAAGAUUUUAAAAUAUUUUCUGUUUGUUCAAAUACAAAAGGACCACAGUCCAUAUGAAACGUCAUGCCGAGUUACUGCAAAUGUUAAAUUGAAUUGGCUUCGCUACACUGAUUCAUUUCGUCUUCCUCUUUGAUAGCGUGAAAUGCUUGCAUCUUGUGUCAAACAGUUCGAAGUCGGUUUCGUCGAUUAAAGAAGAUGUUUCCAAAAUGUUUUCAUUUUG